GACUAACGCUGGCGGCGUGCUUAACACAUGCAAGUCGAACGGAAAGGCCCUGCUUUUGUGGGGUGCUCGAGUGGCGAACGGGUGAGUAACACGUGAGUAACCUGCCCUUGACUUUGGGAUAACUUCAGGAAACUGGGGCUAAUACCGGAUCGGAGCUCCUGCUGCAUGGUGGGGGUUGGAAAGUUUCGGCGGUUGGGGAUGGACGCGCGGCUUAUCAGCUUGUUGGUGGGGUAGUGGCUUACCAAGGCUUUGACGGGUAGCCGGCCUGAGAGGGUGACCGGGCACAUUGGGACUGAGAUACGGCCCAGACUCCUACGGGAGGCAGCAGUGGGGAAUAUUGCACAAUGGGCGGAAGCCUGAUGCAGCAACGCCGCGUGCGGGAUGACGGCCUUCGGGUUGUAAACCGCUUUCGCCUGUGACGAAGCGUGAGUGACGGUAAUGAGUAAAGAAGCACCGGCUAACUACGUG
This 468-nucleotide ribosomal RNA is filed under the name uncultured bacterium. RNAcentral describes it as "partial 16S ribosomal RNA". It matches the Rfam family "Bacterial small subunit ribosomal RNA", at positions 28 to 507 of the family's 1533-position model. The record is from RNAcentral.